GGCUGGCACGUCCAACGUCUGCAGGGUGGAUGGCAGGCUGGAGAGCCAGGGAAGAGCUGUUGAGGUUCACAUCUGGAGGCUGUUGGGUGCAGAAUUUCCUCUUGCUCAGGGGAGGUCAGCUUUCUGCUCAGUUCAGUCCUUCAAGUGAUUGGUAGUGGUCCAUCCACAAUGCGGAGGGCAACCUGCUUUACUAAUUUAAAUGUAAAUCUCCUCCAAAAAACAUCUCACGGAAACAUCCACAAUAACGUUUAAUCACGUGUCUGGACACCAGGGCCCAGUCAAGUAGACACAUAGAUUUAAUCAUCACGAGGACUAAUUUAAGAGGGAGGGAGAACGGUGGAGAUGAGGCACCAUUGACCAAGGCAGUGGUACCCAUUUACAGCAAAAUAGAGAGCAUCCAAGUGAAUAACUCUGAGUGAUCCAGGAGCACCCCACUCUUACUACAUCUUCCUCUGCCUCUGCCUGGCCUUCUAAAUUCUACUAGAACUUUAGAGCCUUGCUCAAAUUCCACCGCCUCCAGGAAGUCUUUCAGACAUUCCAGCUCUCAGUGGGCUCCUCUUUGGGUCUCUGACAGCACUCGCUGUCUGCCCACACAGUUUGAUUCUUCAUCAGGUUCCCUCAUAUUGCACGUUAGUCUUGCCUUCCGGGAACAUCCUUAUGGUCUAUAUUGACAAUAAUGACCCAGAGUCAUCAGGAAGUUGUCAAGAAGUCUGCUUUUCAGAGCUCCCAUCUACAAUUUACGCAGCAAAUCUUGAUUUAUAAGACAAAUUGCGGCUGAGCACAGAGAACACAGGGAACGUGCCACAUACAUAUAGAAAAUGGAUUGAAGCCUUCCCUUGCCACAAAGCUGAUGGCCUCACGGUGGCAAAGAAAACUGUUAUAAAAUGUGUUUUCUACUUGGCGUAUACCUUCCAGAGUCUUCAGUGAUCAAGAAAAACCUCUGAUAAAUGCCUGACUGCUUACACUGUAGCCCUAACUUUGGGAACCCAUUGGCAUCAUUGCUUCCUGAAAUGAGACACAACUGUUUAACUGAGCCGACCUAUUUUCAAGACUAAGAAAUUAAUUCAAGGAAAUAAUGAAGCAAUCUACCAGCUCAGCUUUUAAUAUGUAAAACUUCCAGGGAAAUUUUAGAGGAGGGAACUGUUGGGGCCCGGGAAGACCACCCCAAAAUAUCCCACAAUGGCAUAUUGAUUAUUUUGAAUUAAAGUUUACUUGAG
This is a long non-coding RNA of Equus caballus (horse), 1217 nucleotides long. RefSeq lists it as uncharacterized. Lineage: Eukaryota; Metazoa; Chordata; Mammalia; Perissodactyla; Equidae. The record is from RefSeq and is a predicted model, not a curated record.